AGAGUUUGAUCCUGGCUCAGAUUGAACGCUGGCGGCGUGCCUAACACAUGCAAGUCGAGCGGUAACAGGUGUAGCAAUACAUGCUGACGAGCGGCGAACGGGUGAGUAAUGCUUCGGAAUCUGCCCAAUGGUGGGGAAUAACCAGCCGAAAGGUUGGUUAAUACCGCAUACGUCCCACGGGAGAAAGCAGGGGAUCGCAAGACCUUGCGCCAAUGGAUGAGCCGAAGUCGGAUUAGCUAGUUGGUAGGGUAACGGCCUACCAAGGCGACGAUCCGUAGCUGGUCUGAGAGGACGACCAGCCACACUGGGACUGAGACACGGCCCAGACUCCUACGGGAGGCAGCAGUGGGGAAUAUUGGACAAUGGGGGAAACCCUGAUCCAGCGACGCCGCGUGUGUGAAGAAGGCCUGCGGGUUGUAAAGCACUUUUAGUGGGGAUGAAAAGUUCAGGGCUAAUACCCCUGGAUCUUGACCUAACCCACAGAAAAAGCACCGGCUAACUCUGUGCCAGCAGCCGCGGUAAUACAGAGGGUGCAAGCGUUAAUCGGAAUUACUGGGCGUAAAGCGUGCGUAGACGGUUACAUAAGUCGGGUGUGAAAGCCCCGGGCUCAACCUGGGAAUUGCAUUCGAGACUGCGUAGCUAGGGUGCGGAAGAGGGAAGCGGAAUUUCCGGUGUAGCGGUGAAAUGCGUAGAUAUCGGAAGGAACACCAGUGGCGAAAGCGGCUUCCUGGUCCAGCACCGACGUUCAGGCACGAAAGCGUGGGGAGCAAACAGGAUUAGAUACCCUAGUAGUCC
RNAcentral lists this ribosomal RNA (795 nucleotides) under uncultured bacterium. RNAcentral's name for it is "bacterial SSU rRNA". It matches the Rfam family "Bacterial small subunit ribosomal RNA", at positions 8 to 796 of the family's 1533-position model. The record is from RNAcentral.